This 465-nucleotide ribosomal RNA is filed under the name uncultured bacterium. RNAcentral describes it as "partial 16S ribosomal RNA". It matches the Rfam family "Bacterial small subunit ribosomal RNA", at positions 28 to 507 of the family's 1533-position model. The record is from RNAcentral.
GACGAACGCUGGCGGCGUGCUUAACACAUGCAAGUCGAACGGAAAGGCCCCUUUGGGGGUACUCGAGUGGCGAACGGGUGAGUAACACGUGAGUAACCUGCCCUUUACUUCGGGAUAACUUCAGGAAACUGGGGCUAAUACCGGAUAGGAAUCCUUGCUGCAUGGUGGGGGUUGGAAAGCUUCGGCGGUUUUGGAUGGACUCGCGGCUUAUCAGCUUGUUGGUGGGGUAGUGGCUUACCAAGGCUUUGACGGGUAGCCGGCCUGAGAGGGCGACCGGCCACAUUGGGACUGAGAUACGGCCCAGACUCCUACGGGAGGCAGCAGUGGGGAAUAUUGCACAAUGGGCGGAAGCCUGAUGCAGCAACGCCGCGUGCGGGAUGACGGCCUUCGGGUUGUAAACCGCUUUCAGCAGGGGCGAAGCUUGUGGUGACGGUACCUGCAGAAGAAGCACCGGCUAACUACGUG